GGGAAUGAUUCAUCAUCCACACCAGCUCUCCAGGUAGGGAGGCUGGGUGGAAAAUGUUUAUUUAUUAAAAUAAUUAGUGAGUGUGUCUGUGAGUGUAUGUGUGUCUGUGAGUGAUUGUAUGAGUGUGUAUGUGUGUCUGAGUGCUUGUAUGAGUACUGCAUGUGAGUGUAUGAGUGUGGCAGUGUAUGUGUGUCUGUCAGUGUGUGUUUGUGAGUGUCUGUCAAAUCAGUGAGAGUAUCUUUGUCAUUGAGUCUGUGUGUGAGUAUCAGUGUGUCUGUCAAUGAAUGAGUGUCUGUCUGUGUGUGAGUGUCUGUGUGUGACUGUGUGUGUAUGUGUG
Pelobates cultripes (western spadefoot toad) is the source of this 337-nucleotide non-coding RNA. Lineage: Eukaryota; Metazoa; Chordata; Amphibia; Anura; Pelobatidae. The record is from the annotation of a GenBank genome assembly.